RNAcentral lists this ribosomal RNA (968 nucleotides) under uncultured marine bacterium. RNAcentral describes it as "bacterial SSU rRNA". It matches the Rfam family "Bacterial small subunit ribosomal RNA", at positions 87 to 1047 of the family's 1533-position model. The record is from RNAcentral.
UGAGUAAAGCGGCGGACGGGUGAGUAACGCGUAGGAAUCUACCUAGUAGUGGGGGACAACUCGGGGAAACUCGAGCUAAUACCGCAUACGCCCUACGGGGGAAAGCGGGGGACCUUCGGGCCUCGUGCUAUUAGAUGAGCCUGCGUUGGAUUAGCUAGUUGGUGGGGUAAAGGCCUACCAAGGCGACGAUCCAUAGCUGGUCUGAGAGGAUGAUCAGCCACACCGGGACUGAGACACGGCCCGGACUCCUACGGGAGGCAGCAGUGGGGAAUAUUGCGCAAUGGGCGAAAGCCUGACGCAGCCAUGCCGCGUGUGUGAAGAAGGCCUUCGGGUUGUAAAGCACUUUCAAUUGGGAGGAAAGGUUCACGGUUAAUAACCGUGAGCUGUGACGUUACCUUUAGAAGAAGCACCGGCUAACUCCGUGCCAGCAGCCGCGGUAAUACGGAGGGUGCGAGCGUUAAUCGGAAUUACUGGGCGUAAAGCGCGCGUAGGUGGUCUGUUAAGUCGGAUGUGAAAGCCCCGGGCUCAACCUGGGAACUGCAUCCGAUACUGGCAAACUAGAGUGCGGGAGAGGGAGGUAGAAUUCCAUGUGUAGCGGUGAAAUGCGUAGAUAUGUGGAGGAAUACCAGUGGCGAAGGCGGCCUCCUGGCUCGACACUGACACUGAGGCGCGAAAGCGUGGGGAGCAAACAGGAUUAGAUACCCUGGUAGUCCACGCCGUAAACGAUGUCUACUAGCUGUAGGGGUACUUGAGACCUUUGUAGCGCAGCUAACGCAAUAAGUAGACCGCCUGGGGGAGUACGGCCGCAAGGUUAAAACUCAAAUGAAUUGACGGGGGCCCGCACAAGCAGUGGAACCAUGUGGGUUUAAUUCGAUGCAACGCGAAGAACCUUACCAGGCCUUGACAUCCUCGGAACUUUCUAGAAGAUAGAUUGGUGCCUUCGGGAACCGAGUGACAGGUGCUGCAUG